UCUUCGGCAAUGGACGCAAGUCUGACCGAGCAACGCCGCGUGAGUGAAGAAGGUUUUCGGAUCGUAAAACUCUGUUGUAAGAGAAGAACGUUAAUGAGAGUGAAAAGUUCAUCAAGUGACGGUAUCUUACCAGAAAGCCACGGCUAACUACGUGCCAGCAGCCGCGGUAAUACGUAGGUGGCAAGCGUUGUCCGGAUUUAUUGGGCGUAAAGCGAGCGCAGGCGGUUGAUUAAGUCUGAUGUGAAAGCCCCCGGCUCAACCGGGGAGGGUCAUUGGAAACUGGUCAACUUGAGUGCAGAAGAGGAGAGUGGAAUUCCAUGUGUAGCGGUGAAAUGCGUAGAUAUAUGGAGGAACACCAGUGGCGAAGGGGGCUCUCUGUCUGUAACUGACGCUGAGGCCGA
Molecule: ribosomal RNA, 401 nt
Filed under: uncultured bacterium
Lineage: Bacteria
Description: bacterial SSU rRNA
Rfam family: Bacterial small subunit ribosomal RNA
Source: RNAcentral